CCUACGGGAGGCUGCAGUGAGGAAUAUUGGUCAAUGGACGAGAGUCUGAACCAGCCAAGUAGCGUGAAGGAUGACUGCCCUAUGGGUUGUAAACUUCUUUUAUAUGGGAAUAAAACAGGGUAUGCAUACCCUCUCGUAUGUACCAUAUGAAUAAGGAUCGGCUAACUCCGUGCCAGCAGCCGCGGUAAUACGGAGGAUCCGAGCGUUAUCCGGAUUUAUUGGGUUUAAAGGGAGCGUAGGUGGAUUGUUAAGUCAGUUGUGAAAGUUUGCGGCGCAACCGUAAAAUUGCAGUUGAAACUGGAAGUCUUGAGUACAGUAGAGGUAGGCGGAAUUCGUGGUGUAGCGGUGAAAUGCUUAGAUAUCACGAAGAACUACGAUUGCGAAGGCAGCUCACUGGACUGCAACUGACACUGAUGCUCGAAAGUGUGGGUAUCAAACAGGAUUAGAUACCCUUGUAGUC
This 460-nucleotide ribosomal RNA is filed under the name uncultured bacterium. RNAcentral's name for it is "partial 16S ribosomal RNA". It matches the Rfam family "Bacterial small subunit ribosomal RNA", at positions 338 to 795 of the family's 1533-position model. The record is from RNAcentral.